CAGUUUUGUUUUGUUUUAAGAAAUGAACCUGCUCAUUUCUGUUGUAACUUUUUCCUCUGUAGGCAUUUCUGGGCACAGCGUGUUUUUCCCAAGUCUGGGCUAAAGGACGAUUCUGAUUCUGAUUCUGAUUCUGUGAUUGUUUCAAGACCACAUGAAAUAAAGAGGAUUCCUCAUGAAGAUUCUUUAAAAAAUUUGUCUUCUCAGAAACAACUGACCUUGGAGGAUCUAAGUGAUGAGAAAGAUUCCGUUUCCAAUAUAGCCCCAGAAAUAAAGGAUGGAUCAACAUCUGAGACAGUGCAUCCUGCCGUUGACAAGCAUUUAAACAGGCAUUUCUGGGCACAGCGUGUUUUUCCCAAGUCUGGGCUAAAGGACGAUUCUGAUUCUGAUUCUGAUUCUGUGAUUGUUUCAAGACCACAUGAAAUAAAGAGGAUUCCUCAUGAAGAUUCUUUAAAAAAUUGUAAGCUGUUUAAGCCUUUCUAUUAUAUUAUUUACUGAUUCUUCUUUUUUCUUUUCUUUCUUUGUUUCUGUUUUUUUUUUUUAAUUUUAAGACACAGUCUCAUACUUUCUGCUGCCCAGGCUAGAGUGCAAUGGCACAGACAUGGCUCAUUGCAACAUCCAUCUCUUGGAAUCAAGUGAUUCUCCUGCCCCCACCUCCCUAGUAGCUGGCACUACAGGUGUGUGCCACCACACCAGCUAAUUUUUGUAUCAUUAGAAGCGAUGGGGUUUCACCAUGUUGGCCAUGAUGGUCUCAAUCACCUGACUUCCAGGGAUUCUGCCUCCCAAAGUGCUGGGAUUACAAGCUUUAGCCACCAUGUCCGGUGUGCAUGAUUAUUUCUAUAAAGAUAGAAUCUUGCUAUGUUGGCCUGGCUGGUCUCAAACUCCUGGGUUGCUCAAGUGAUACUUCUGUCUCAGCCUUCUGAGUAGCUGAGAUUAUAUUAACAAGCCACUGUGCCCUUUUAUGUUUUUAAUAUUCUAUCCUGUGUUUGUCUAUACUAGCCUUUGUUACUCUUGGGCAUCGGAGACAUAUGUUUUGUUGACGUUAGUUAUUUGAAUGAGAUAAACAUGAAUAUACGUACAUUCACUUUGUUUUUUGAGGAGCUAACUUUUGGAUCAAAUAGCAGUUUAAUAAAAGUUCUUUAGUGAAAAACAUGAUACUUCAAACCAGACUAUAUUGGAAAGAAAAUAAUGUUGAAAUCAUUAAUUGACUCCCAAAUAGUUUAUUUUCAAUGAAUAUUGGAGUGAUAUCUGAAUGUAGAAGCUUAUUAAUAUCUAGUGCUUGUAGCAGUUUUAUUUAGUAGAAGUAUGUCAAAACUGAUAAAGGAUGAUACUGUUUAUUGAGGCCUAUGAGUCUUACCGUGUUGCAUGAGUGUGUGAAGAAACUUUCAGCAAGCUCAAGUAGAGGAUUCCCUCAAUGUAGGAAAGUCAUUACACCACAAGGGUUUGAGAAAUAAUGGAUAUUAUCUACAAGUAUUCACCCAACUUAUAUCCAAGCUGAUCUAUUUAGGACCCUUCCCUGUAGACAUGAAGUAUACAUUCAACUGAAGUGUCAUUGUAAUUGUGUACCUUCUCAGUUAUUGGGCAAGUUAAAGAGCAUGAGGAAUAUUUGUAGUCUAGUGCUAUAAAUUCUUUUGAUAUGUUGCAUGAACGAUAUGUGAGAGUAGUGCCACCUGCUUUGACAUUGAUUCCCAGGUGUCUGAGUUGCUUCUCUGGUUUUAGAUCACAUUGGUCCUCAUUCCUCAGCAUACUGACAUUGAUACUGAUACUCUCUUAUUUUUGAAAUAUUUAUAUGAAAAAUUACAUCGCAUUUGAAAUUGUCAGAGUAUAUAUUGUGAAGCCUGUAUUGUUGUUUUCUUCAGUGUGUUUCUGUCAUGUUCCUGUUUCAAGACACAAAGUAUAAAACCUCAAAGCCUACACGAAUACGGGCAGGAAAAGACAGGUUGAUGCUAAUAUGGAAUGAAUGUAUCUAUAUCUUUACCACAUUUACAUAUGGUUUAUUAUGUAUCCCUUUUUCUUUUCAGUGUCUUCUCAGAAACAACUGACCUUGGAGGUAAUUACACCCUCAUUUGUAUUUUGAACUAUUAACUGUGUAGUCUAUGAUAUAUUCUUUAUGUGUUGAUUAUUUUUCUUCAAAUCCCCUUCAGGCUAUAAGUGAUGAGAAAGAUUCCGUUUCCAAUAUAGCCCCAGAAAUAAAGGAUGGAUCAACAUCUGAGACAGGUAAUUUUAUAAAUAAACAUUUUAUGUCAGGUUAAUGCAAGGUAGAAGGGAAGUUCCCUUCCCAAAUAAAUUAGCAGUGGGCUCAUUGAAACUGCACAUUCUGUUUCAGGAAGCCUAAGUUUCUGCAUUGUAAUAAGUUAUUUGGUGCCAUUGAUGCUGCUCGUCAUUUUCCGUGAUCUGAGUAGUAUCAUUGUAAACCUCUCUACAUCAAAACUAAAUAGAAGAACCUCUGAAGAGCAAUGCAACAGAUAGCAAGCUAAAAGGACAGCAUUAUUUUGCUUUAAUUCUACAGCAUGUUUUCAUCAAGAGGGGAAAGAGGAAUAUUUGAAGCAAUAGAAAGUGUAGACAUCAGACGAUAUCACAAAAAGCAGAGGGAAGAAGUGAUCGUAACAACCCGUGAACACUGUAGAACAACAACUAAGGACACCACUGAUGGAGUAAUUACUUUCCUUAAGGGAGAGAGAUUGUGAGGCAGGAGGGAGUGAAAAGAAGAAGUUAUUUGUGUAAUUUUGGGGAUUCUGCUGAGGAAACCUGAGUGAACUCUCUUUAGUUGUACAUAGAAUAUUUGCAUAAAAGAUUUUUUUGUGGUUGAUCCAGGAACUACUGGAAGCAGAAAGGAGAGCUGGAAUACAGAUAAAUCACACUGACCCAUUGCUCCUCUUCGUUACUGUUAGGCAACAGGGAUACAUUUUUUUAUUUUAGUUAUAAAAAUCAGAUAAACUUGAAUAUGAAUACAUUGCCUUUGUUGUUCAAGGAGGUAACUCUUGGAACACAUAGCUAUUUAAUCAAAAUUCUUUAGAGAAUAAUAUGCUAUUUUAAAGAAG
This is a long non-coding RNA of Callithrix jacchus (white-tufted-ear marmoset), 3038 nucleotides long. NCBI's taxonomy places the organism in Eukaryota, Metazoa, Chordata, Mammalia, Primates, Cebidae. The record is from Ensembl.